GGCUUCGUAGCUCAGCUGGUAGAGCGCUUGCCGCGUAGAGGCAUGGUGUUUCUGCCGCUGGUUCGAAUCCAGCCGAAGCCC
Molecule: transfer RNA, 81 nt
Filed under: Paragonimus heterotremus
Lineage: Eukaryota; Metazoa; Platyhelminthes; Trematoda; Plagiorchiida; Troglotrematidae
Rfam family: tRNA
About the family: Transfer RNA (tRNA) molecules are approximately 80 nucleotides in length. Their secondary structure includes four short double-helical elements and three loops (D, anti-codon, and T loops). Further hydrogen bonds mediate the characteristic L-shaped molecular structure. tRNAs have two regions of fundamental functional importance: the anti-codon, which is responsible for specific mRNA codon recognition, and the 3' end, to which the tRNAs corresponding amino acid is attached (by aminoacyl-tRNA synthetases). tRNAs cope with the degeneracy of the genetic code in two manners: having more than one tRNA (with a specific anti-codon) for a particular amino acid; and 'wobble' base-pairing, i.e. permitting non-standard base-pairing at the 3rd anti-codon position.
Source: Rfam by way of RNAcentral